Molecule: transfer RNA, 26 nt
Filed under: Pseudotrapelus sinaitus (Sinai agama)
Lineage: Eukaryota; Metazoa; Chordata; Lepidosauria; Squamata; Agamidae
Description: partial tRNA-Leu
Source: RNAcentral
ACUUUUAAAGGAAAAAAGAAAUCCGA